Long non-coding RNA from Cyprinus carpio (common carp), 1926 nucleotides. The record is from Ensembl. Lineage: Eukaryota; Metazoa; Chordata; Actinopteri; Cypriniformes; Cyprinidae.
AUGGCGUACCAUAAAAAAUGGAGGAGGCAAAAUGCUGAAUUGCUUGCAAUGGCACGGUCAAGUAGUGACUCAGAGGAUCAUUCUUCUGUUUCUGCUCGGGCUGGUGAUUGUGCAACCAUCAAUUCUGAGAACAUUCUGAGAGAAGAUUGUGCAGGAACUACAACGGACAGUUAUCUUGAAAAUCUUGAUCUGGAUGACCAGUGGUACAAUAUUUACAGUGAAAGUGAUGACACUGAAACAGGCUCCUCUUCAGAUGAAAUCAGUGAAUUAAGGAGUGAUUUGGCAAAAUGGGCAGUUCGGAACAGAACAACACGGACAUCUGUAGAUGAGCUCCUUUCUGUGUUAAGGAAACACGGACAUCGGCUGCCUAAGGAUGCCAGAACACUCUUGGGAACGCCCCGCCAUGUAGAUGCACAGGAUUUGUGUGGUGGUCAAUAUCUAUAUUUCGGUCUUGAGUCUGGGCUUUUGAAAAUAUGUUCACAGUACCCAGAGAAAAUCAUGUCCAGAGAAAAUCAUCUACUUCUCAAUUUUAGCAUUGAUGGUUUGCCAUUGUUCAAGUCAUCAAAUGUCCAGAUUUGGCCUAUUCUGUGUAGUAUGAAGAGGUUUCAGCCAUUUGUUGUAGCCGUAUUUUGUGGCAAAGAAAAACCAAAUUCUGUGAGUGAUUUCAUGUCGGAAUUUCUUGAAGAGCUCACUAGGCUUCAGCAUAAUGGAAUUUCAUUCAAAGGCGAAACCUUGAAUGUUAAGGUCAACGCUUUCAUCUGUGAUGCUCCAGCGAGAGCUUUUUUAAAGUGCAUAAAGGGGCACAAUGCAUACAACAGUUGUGAGCGAUGCACUAUUGAAGGACAAUACAUGAACCACAGGGUUGUGUUUAAUUACCAACCACAAGAGAAGAUUUUGUUGAGAACAGAAGAGGAAUUCAGUAGUUUGUCCUACCCUUUCCACCAAAAUGGACUCUCACCCCUUGCAGAUGCAGGCUUGUCAUGCAUACAAUCAUUUGUCUUGGACUACAUGCAUCUGGUCUGUCUAGGGGUGGUUAGACGCUUACUCGUCUUCUUGAAACAGGGUCCCAGAGAGUGCAAAAUUUCACAGAGGCAAAUUGGUGAAAUUUCAUCCAAGCUUGAGUCUCUCAAUGGAAAACUCCCAAGGGAAUUUGCCCGACAGCCACGGUCUCUUGCCUCUCUAGAAAGAUGGAAAGCAACUGAAUUCCGCCAGUUCUUACUCUACACUGGACCAGUUGUUCUUCGUGAUGUGUUGCCUGACAGCUUCUACCACCACUUCCUAACACUGACCGUUGCCAUGUCCAUACUGUUGGAUGCUGAUGAUGACACGAGGAAGGCAUAUACAGCCUAUGCUGAAGAGCUGCUGAUGCACUUUUAUAAAACAUCUACUAAGCUUUACAGCCCUGUCUUUCCUUCGUACAAUGUCCAUUCUCUUAUCCACUUGGCACAAGACGUUAGAAAUUUUGGAACGUCUUUAAAUGAGAUCUGUGCGUUUCCAUUUGAAAACCAUUUGCACAAACUAAAAAAGAGUGUCAGGAAUGCAACAAAUCCUAUUUCACAGCUUUCCAAGAGAAUCACUGAGAUGGAUAAUGCCAAAGUUCACACUAUACCAGCACCCCACCGGACAUUUGUGUCUACAAAAAUGAAGGACUCCUGUUUUAUGGUUGGAGAAGGCUUUGCCUUUGUCAAGGAAAAAAGAACCGAUAAGAUGUGUGUGUGUGAUGUGUACCACCUUGACAGUUUAGAGAGUUUCUUUGACAGUCCAUGUGAUUCCAAGUUUAUAAACAUAGCCCGUCUAAGGGAUGAAAGAAGACCGGGAAAAAGAAAGCUCAUUGAGCAGAAGGAACUGAGGAAGAAAGUGGUUUGUCUUCCCUAUGGGAAUGGAUUUGUUCUUAUACCGAUGCUCCAUGGCAGUGAAAAACACUAA